UACAGAGGGGGCAAGCGUUGUUCGGAAUUACUGGGCGUAAAGGGCGCGUAGGCGGCCUGCUAAGUCGAACGUGAAAUCCCUGGGCUCAACCCAGGAACUGCGCCCGAUACUGGUUGGCUUGAAUCCGGGAGAGGGAUGUGGAAUUCCAGGUGUAGCGGUGAAAUGCGUAGAUAUCUGGAGGAACACCGGUGGCGAAGGCGGCCAACUGGACCACAACUGACGCUGAGGCGCGAAAGCGUGGGGAGCAAACAGG
This 253-nucleotide ribosomal RNA is filed under the name uncultured bacterium. Its description in RNAcentral is "partial 16S ribosomal RNA". It matches the Rfam family "Bacterial small subunit ribosomal RNA", at positions 524 to 776 of the family's 1533-position model. The record is from RNAcentral.